GACGAACGCUGGCGGCGUGCUUAACACAUGCAAGUCGAACGGUGAUGCCCCAGCUUGCUGGAGUGGAUCAGUGGCGAACGGGUGAGUAACACGUGAGCAACCUGCCCCAGACUCUGGAAUAAGCGCUGGAAACGGCGUCUAAUACUGGAUACGAAACUGGCCCGCAUGGGCAUGGUUUGGAAAGUUUUUCGGUUUGGGAUGGGCUCGCGGCCUAUCAGCUUGUUGGUGAGGUAAUGGCUCACCAAGGCGACGACGGGUAGCCGGCCUGAGAGGGCGACCGGCCACACUGGGACUGAGACACGGCCCAGACUCCUACGGGAGGCAGCAGUGGGGAAUAUUGCACAAGGGGCGAAAGCCUGAUGCAGCGACGCCGCGUGAGGGAUGACGGCCUUCGGGUUGUAAACCUCUUUCAGCAGGGAAGAAGCGAAAGUGACGGUACCUGCAGAAGAAGCACCGGCUAACUACGUG
RNAcentral lists this ribosomal RNA (468 nucleotides) under uncultured bacterium. RNAcentral describes it as "partial 16S ribosomal RNA". It matches the Rfam family "Bacterial small subunit ribosomal RNA", at positions 28 to 507 of the family's 1533-position model. The record is from RNAcentral.